GACGAACGCUGGCGGCGUGCUUAACACAUGCAAGUCGAACGGAAAGGCCCUGCUUUUGUGGGGUGCUCGAGUGGCGAACGGGUGAGUAACACGUGAGUAACCUGCCCUUGACUUUGGGAUAACUUCAGGAAACUGGGGCUAAUACCGGAUAGGAGCUCCUGCUGCAUGGUGGGGGUUGGAAAGUUUCGGCGGUUGGGGAUGGACUCGCGGCUUAUCAGCUUGUUGGUGGGGUAGUGGCUUACCAAGGCUUUGACGGGUAGCCGGCCUGAGGGGGUGACCAGCCACAUUGGGACUGAGAUACGGCGCAGACGCCUACGGGAGGCAGCAGUGGAGAAUAUUGCACAGUGGGCGGAAGCCUGAUGCAGCAACGCCGCGUGCGGGAUGACGGCCUUCGGGUUGUAAACCGCUUUCGCCUGUGACGAAGAGUGAGUGACGGUAAUGGGUAAAGAAGCACCGGCUAACUACGUG
RNAcentral lists this ribosomal RNA (468 nucleotides) under uncultured bacterium. RNAcentral describes it as "partial 16S ribosomal RNA". It matches the Rfam family "Bacterial small subunit ribosomal RNA", at positions 28 to 507 of the family's 1533-position model. The record is from RNAcentral.